RNAcentral lists this transfer RNA (72 nucleotides) under Camelus bactrianus (Bactrian camel). It matches the Rfam family "tRNA". From Rfam's summary of the family: Transfer RNA (tRNA) molecules are approximately 80 nucleotides in length. Their secondary structure includes four short double-helical elements and three loops (D, anti-codon, and T loops). Further hydrogen bonds mediate the characteristic L-shaped molecular structure. tRNAs have two regions of fundamental functional importance: the anti-codon, which is responsible for specific mRNA codon recognition, and the 3' end, to which the tRNAs corresponding amino acid is attached (by aminoacyl-tRNA synthetases). tRNAs cope with the degeneracy of the genetic code in two manners: having more than one tRNA (with a specific anti-codon) for a particular amino acid; and 'wobble' base-pairing, i.e. permitting non-standard base-pairing at the 3rd anti-codon position. The record is from Rfam by way of RNAcentral. RNAcentral also lists the same sequence under 2 other names. Lineage: Eukaryota; Metazoa; Chordata; Mammalia; Artiodactyla; Camelidae.
GUGGGUAUAACUCAGUGGUGGAGUAUAUAUUUAGCAUGUGUGAGGUCCUGGGUUCAAUUUCCAGUACCUCUA